GCUGAGUAAGGCUGCAUUUGCUCUCUGCCUGGCUAUCUUCAAGCUGGGACAUCGGUCUUCUCCUACCUUCAGACUGGAACUAACCACCUCUCCUGCUUUUCAGGCCUUCAAACUUGAACUGAAACUAUACCACUGGAACUCCUAGCUCUCCAGCUUACAUCACAGGACUUCUCAGCUUCAAUAAUCCACUCCUUUCAUCCAUGGGUAGAGUCUCUUCCUCACGCCUUGGAUCCUGGCUGGCUUGGUGACUUGCUUUGACCAACAGAAUGAGAUGGAAGCAACAUGAUUGAAGCUGCAGAGCUCAGGCCUCAGAGGCUUAGCUCCUGCCUUCAUCAUCUGAGAAUCCUGAGGCCACCACUGUGCCAGGAAGAAGAUGGAGAUGCAGGACCACAUGAGAGGGAAGCUCAGUGCCCGGGCAUUCCAGCUAAGCCCAGCGUCUAGUGGAUGCAGUCACCGAAGCCAACCCAGACCAGACCAGUGGAAUAAGCCCCCAGCCAACCCACACAACUGUGAAAAAGAACAAAUUGUCAUUUUAAGCCACUACGUGUGGAGUGGUUUGUUUCUCUACAAUAAACAACUAAAACACUUUGCAGAUAA
Capra hircus (goat) is the source of this 597-nucleotide long non-coding RNA. RefSeq lists it as uncharacterized. NCBI's taxonomy places the organism in Eukaryota, Metazoa, Chordata, Mammalia, Artiodactyla, Bovidae. The transcript has 2 exons. The record is from RefSeq and is a predicted model, not a curated record.